Molecule: ribosomal RNA, 449 nt
Filed under: uncultured bacterium
Lineage: Bacteria
Description: partial 16S ribosomal RNA
Rfam family: Bacterial small subunit ribosomal RNA
Source: RNAcentral
CCUACGGGGGGCUGCAGUGGGGAAUAUUGGACAAUGGGCGCAAGCCUGAUCCAGCCAUACCGCGUGGGUGAAGAAGGCCUUCGGGUUGUAAAGCCCUUUUGUUGGGAAAGAAAUCCUGUCGGUUAAUAACCGGUGGGGAUGACGGUACCCAAAGAAUAAGCACCGGCUAACUUCGUGCCAGCAGCCGCGGUAAUACGAAGGGUGCAAGCGUUACUCGGAAUUACGGGGCGGGUGGUUUACGUAGGUGGUGAAAGCCCUGGGCUCAACCUGGGAAUUGCGAUGGAUACUGGAUCGCUAGAGUGUGGUAGUGGGAUGCGGAAUUUCUGGUGUAGCAGUGAAAUGCGUAGAGAUCAGAAGGAACAUCCGUGGCGAAGGCGGCAUCCUGGGCCAACACUGACACUGAGGCACGAAAGCGUGGGGAGCAAACAGGAUUAGAUACCCUAGUAGUC